Long non-coding RNA from Uranotaenia lowii, 2223 nucleotides. RefSeq lists it as uncharacterized. The transcript has 3 exons. Lineage: Eukaryota; Metazoa; Arthropoda; Insecta; Diptera; Culicidae. The record is from RefSeq and is a predicted model, not a curated record.
AUAAAGCGAAAAUCUUUCAUUAGCCGUAGCAGUGACAGAUUCUGUUGAUUACUUUGAUUAAAAACGCAUAAAAGUGCCGAAUUACCGUUGGACUUUUUACGAUUUUUCAAUGCCGCUUUUCUCAUUUCAACAAAAACGCAAAUGGGACGGACUUGCUAUGAGCGGCAGCUCACCGUGGGCCAGUUUCUGGAUGAGGUGCCGGAGAAAAAUCGGAAAAAAUGAGCCACACACAAAACUUUCGAGGCCGGAAAUUAGCAAAAUUUUGCUCAAAUUUGACCAGCUAAAAUCUUAGCAAUCAAUUUAGCAAUUUUUUCGAACUAAAAUUUUAGCAAACGAGAGACAAAUUUAGCCGCCGCAAUUUUUGCUCACUUUUCUAGCAAAAACCGGAGGAAAAGAUCGCCCCGGACCUGAAAUUUCAAUAUUUAUUGUUUUUCUUUGCAAUUUCUUAGGGAAUGUUAGAUUAUUGAAAAGAAUACAAAAAUAAGUUUACUUUCAAUUGAUUUUUCUCUUUAUUUCGACACUUCAUGGAACUUAUUUAGUUCCGAUCCUGGGAACGCGAAAUGCCAAGCGAUCGACACCGGGGUUGUUCCGGACGCACCGCAUUGAAAUUCCAGCUUUGUCCCUUUCGAUUUUCGGACUGUUGCAAUUAAAACCCGGAACCCCACCGGCAGCAGCAACCUAAUAGGAAAAAAAAAACAUAAAUUAAAAAACGGAAAACAUUUUACACUUCUUGAUCGACUUUUACCUGUUUGCAUCCACUAUCGAUUUGGCUACCAAUUUGUCGUGAACUUAGCCACCAAAAGAACCGCCAGCAUCGAAUUUCCGGAACGGCACUGAAUCCCGUCAGUUUAUUUUUUUGUCUCUACCGGCAGCGGCUGCUAUCUAGUAAUAAGGCGGCUAGAAAACCUUCGUUUUACUAAAAUCGAGCAAGAUAAACUUUCUGAUUACUAAAAUCAAGUAAAUUGUGCUUUUUGCUAACUCAAAAGUAAAAAAAUAUUUUUGCUAACGGAAAGUAACAGCGAAUUUUUGCUAAGUGGAGCCUCGAAAGUUUUGUGUGCAGGAGCUGGAAUCGAAACUCCAGGAGCAGAAGAGCAAGCUGAAGGAAGAGAUGCGCGACAAGGAGGAAAGACUGCGAAUGGUUUAGGAAAUCAUUAGCACCCCGGUUGGGAAAGUGGCUCGUUCCAACAGCGUUGAAGAAUUGACCACACCGGUUACUAGCCGGAUUACUUCAACGAAUGCCAAUGGAGUCCUCUACACUCAAAGAACGAUCAUAGAGGCGUAGCAGUGGCCAAUCCCCGUCAUCGGAGGUCUCGCUCCACGGGCGAACUUUGGCUGGAACACCGUGCUGCAAACCCAGUGCCACUGGGAAGGAUUCUACGAACCUACUACACCAAACGGAAGUCGGUUAACAAACUGAACGAGGUUCGGGACGUUACCCACGCUAAAGCCUCCAAGUACUUCCUCAUUUCCCAGGAGGCUGAUACCGAGGGGGAAGUCGAGACGAAGAUUUUCAAGAGUGACGUGAUGCCGACAACUACCGACCAGAAAUUCGUUUCGCCAACUACUGGACAUAUUUUUAUUCAGAAAAAUAAAAAUACCUCUACUGGAAUCGCUUCGAGACACGAAAAUUAACCACGUACAUGAAUCGCCCAAUUUAGUCGGAUGGUUCCAUAUUUAGCGGCCAAUCAAUCCGGCUAUUUAGUUGGAUUGGGUAGGGUUUUAGGAAAACAAUCGAUUUUUGUGGUCAAUAAAUUCGGCUAUUUAGUCGGAUUGAGUUGGGUGGUAGGAAGAAAAAUCAAUUUUUGCCGUCAAUCAAUCCGGCUUUUUAGUGCGAUUUGGUAGGGUGGUAGAAAAACAAUCGAUUUUAGUGGUCAAUCAAUUCAGCUAUUUAGUCGGAUUGAGUUGGGUGGUAGGGAGAAAAAUCAAUUUUUGCAGUCAAUCAAUCCGGCUAUUUAGUACGAUUUGGUAGGGUGGUAGAAAAACAAUCGAUUUUAGUGGUCAAUCAAUUCAGCUAUUUAGUCGGAUUGAGUUGGGUGGUACGAAGAAAAAUCAAUUUUUCAGUCAAUCAAUCCGGCUAUUUAGUACGAUUGGGUAGGAAUAUCUCAUCAACACUAUCGCCCUACUAAUCAGGCGAUUUAGUCGGUUCCUACACAAUCACGCUACUCAUCACCCUAUUUGAUAGGCCUACGAAAUCGGCUUAUUAAUCGGCUAAUGCCCAGCAAA